RNAcentral lists this RNase P RNA (354 nucleotides) under Idiomarina aquatica. Its description in RNAcentral is "Bacterial RNase P class A". It matches the Rfam family "Bacterial RNase P class A". Rfam says of the family: Ribonuclease P (RNase P) is a ubiquitous endoribonuclease, found in archaea, bacteria and eukarya as well as chloroplasts and mitochondria. Its best characterised activity is the generation of mature 5'-ends of tRNAs by cleaving the 5'-leader elements of precursor-tRNAs. Cellular RNase Ps are ribonucleoproteins. The record is from RNAcentral. Lineage: Bacteria; Pseudomonadati; Pseudomonadota; Gammaproteobacteria; Alteromonadales; Idiomarinaceae. RNAcentral also lists the same sequence under 2 other names.
GAAGCCUGCCAGACAAUCGCUGCUCAUGCAUGCAUGAGGGGAGGAAAGUCCGGGCUCCACAGGGCAGGGUGCCAGGUAACGCCUGGGCGGCGCAAGCCGACGACUAGUGCAACAGAGAGUAUACCGCCGAUGGCCGCUUGCGGCACAGGUAAGGGUGAAAGGGUGCGGUAAGAGCGCACCGCGUGGCUGGUAACAGUUCACGGCACGGUAAACUCCACCCGGAGCAAGGUCAAAUAGGGGUUCUUUGGCGCGGCCCGCGUUGAACCCGGGUAGACUGCUUGACGAUCAUGGCAACGUGAUCGCUAGAUGAAUGAUUGUCCACGACAGAACCCGGCUUAUCGGCGGGCUUCCCUC